GCAGUAGCCGCGGUAAUACGAAGGGGGCUAGCGUUGUUCGGAUUUACUGGGCGUAAAGGGCGCGUAGGCGGGCUGAUAAGUCAGGGGUGAAAUCCCAAGGCUCAACCUUGGAACUGCCUUUGAUACUGUUUGUCUUGAGUUCGAGAGAGGUAAGUGGAACUGCGAGUGUAGAGGUGAAAUUCGUAGAUAUUCGCAAGAACACCAGUGGCGAAGGCGGCUUACUGGCUCGAAACUGACGCUGAGGCGCGAAAGCGUGGGAAGCAAACAGGAUUAGAUACCCGUGUAGUCCCUGUCUCUUAUAC
This 302-nucleotide ribosomal RNA is filed under the name uncultured bacterium. RNAcentral describes it as "partial 16S ribosomal RNA". It matches the Rfam family "Bacterial small subunit ribosomal RNA", at positions 508 to 807 of the family's 1533-position model. The record is from RNAcentral.